GCAAAUUUUUCUUGAUAAACUACACAUUUGUGUAUAACCUUUAUCCACCAAUCUUGCUUUAAACCUCUCCACAAAACCCUUUGCCUCAUGUUUCACUGUGAAUACCCACUUGCAACCAUCUUCUUUCCCUCCAGUAGCUCAACUAGUUCCAAGUAACAUUUCUUUUGUAAUGCAUCCAUUUCUUCAAUCAUGAUUGAAGGGAAUUAAAGAUUACAUCGUUCCCAUGCCUUAAAUCUCAUUAGGUGCAUGCAACUAUUCCUAGGGUUACUAGAUCCUAUGCACAAUGGAAAACAAUAACAUUUAAAACUUUGUUGGAUCUAGAGGCCCUGCAGGGGGUAUAUUGGUCUUUUGGAAUAAUCAGGUCUUGAAUUUAUUGGAAUGAAAAUGGAUGCCUUUUCCAUUUUCUGUGGUUUUAAAAACUGUGACAAAAAAUUUGUGUGGAUGUUCUCAGGGGGUUAUGGCCUAGUCCAAAAUGAGGGGGGAGAGGAGUUCUGGAUGAAGUUAUGUGAUAUUAGAGGCCUUUAGAGAGGGGAUUUUAAUGUUAUGAGAUUCCUGGGGAAAGGAGGAACCAUCAAGGAAGAUUGGCAACAAUGAGACACCUCUUGGAAUUUAUACAGGAGCUAGAGCUGAAAAAUCACCCUCUGGCUGGUGGCUCCUUUACAUGGAGUGGUGGUUUAAAUGAUCAGUUUGCCUCUAGGUUGGUGGACUAUUUUCUAGUUAUUGAAGGAUGGGAGAAUCAUUCCAGUGGUUUGACUUAGAGCAUUCUGCCAAGACUUGUUUCUGAUCAUGUUCUUAUUUUGUUAGAUGGAGGAGGGAUAAGGAGAUGAGAAAUGCCUUUAAGAUUUUUCAGUUUAUUCUUAUUAUUCCAUCACUUGUGGUUUAUUCCUGACCAUGGCAUAGUUUGAAGUUCUAUUUUUGUCUUCUUUUUUUUAAAAAAAUAAAUAAAUUCUCAGCCUAAAUUCUGAUUAUUUCUUUGGACGUCAAGUAUUUAUUAUCAUUGUUUUAGGUGUCAAGUAUUAAAAACUUCAAGGGUAUUAAUCAAUGAUUGUUUAAAACUUGCUAUUGUUUCAAGCACUUGUCGUCUUUAACUGAUUACUUAUGAAGAUAUUUUGUUAUCUGGUGAAUGGGUUCUCAAUCUGUUUUUUUUUGUGGUAAACUUGUAAUGGUUGUAACAAUUGGAUCUUCUUGUUUUUGAAUGAUGAUCAGGUACUAUGGCCUGAAUGUGGUUGGCAGCCUGUUUCUUUGACUAAUAUGAUUACUGCUGCUUCAGUUAAAAAAGUUUAUAGAAAGGCCACUUUGUGCAUCCACCCUGAUAAGGUGCAGCAGAAAGGUGCUAAUCUUCAACAAAAGUACAUUGCUGAGAAGGUUUUUAACCUCCUUAAGGGGGAGAUUUGGCUGCUGAUGUUACUCAUUUGUCUGGUCGGCCAGUGUAGGACUCCUCAACUCUGGAGAGUAUUCUUAAGAAACCGCAUGUACAAUAUAAAGUUCUGGAUAAACAUGGUUUUGGAAAUGAACUUCUGUCCAAAAUAGAGAAAGAAUGUGUGGACAUUGAUAUCAAGUAUGAGGGCUUUAUUAUGCUGCAGCAGAGCCAGCUCUAGCAGAUGGCUUAUCAGCAACACAGACCACUACCAGAGAGGACUUGGAUUACUAUGCAAUGACGACUUUGUCUUGAGGCUCGUGAGAAACUAUCCAAGAUCCGCCCACAAACCAUUGGUCAAGCAAGUAGAGUGGGUGGAGUGAGCCCUGCUGACAUUACUGCUCUUCUCAUCAUCCUUGAAGAAGAAAAGCCCCGGAACAAAGAAGGCGCCAGAUGCUGACUUCCGUCAUGGUAGAUCAGGACAAAUGUAUUUCCGCUCCUCUUCCUGAGACACUCAAUCCUCAGAAAAUCUGCUAGGAACUGUGGUUGUAUGCGGUGUUUGUCAGAUAUCUGAAAAAAAAAUGCCAAAUAUUCGAGCAUAUAGAGCAAGGUGAUGUAGUCUUCCAAAGGAACAAUCCAGACGGAAAGCAAUUGAAAGGAAAUGCAUAGGUAUUUGCAUGAUCCCCAGACAUAAGAAACUUGAAUGCCCAAUCCUGCUAAGUGAAGGUUUGGUUUUAUCAAAAAGGCGAGACUCAUUGCAUCCGCUCGGCAGUUGGCACUGCCAAUGAGGAGCGUAUAGGUUUGUAGGAAUAUCAUAAAGCAUUUUUCAUUUUAGAGAACCCCUUUUGGCUAGAGAUGUCUCUCAAAUGUAAAUGAAUUAUUGAUUUAGGGUCACUCUGUUGAUUAAUUACUAUACACAGCAGAGCAGAGCAAUUACUAGUAAUAAAAAUAAAAUGAUUUUUUUGUUUU
Long non-coding RNA from Vitis vinifera (wine grape), 2326 nucleotides. RefSeq lists it as uncharacterized. The transcript is spliced from 4 exons. Lineage: Eukaryota; Viridiplantae; Streptophyta; Magnoliopsida; Vitales; Vitaceae. The record is from RefSeq and is a predicted model, not a curated record.